UACAGAGGUCUCAAGCGUUGUUCGGAUUCAUUGGGCGUAACGGGUGCGUAGGCGGCGCGGUAAGUCGGGUGUGAAAUCUCGGAGCUUAACUCCGAAACUGCAUUCGAUACUGCCGUGCUUGAGGACUGGAGAGGAGACUGGAAUUUACGGUGUAGCGGUGAAAUGCGUAGAUAUCGUAAGGAAGACCAGUGGCGAAGGCGGGUCUCUGGACAGUUCCUGACGCUGAGGCGCGAAAGCGUGGGGAGCAAACAGG
Molecule: ribosomal RNA, 253 nt
Filed under: uncultured bacterium
Lineage: Bacteria
Description: partial 16S ribosomal RNA
Rfam family: Bacterial small subunit ribosomal RNA
Source: RNAcentral